AUGAUUAAAGAUAGCUUGCUAUUUUUAUGAAGAGCGGCGAACGGGUGAGUAACGCGUGGGAAAUCUGCCGAGUAGCGGGGGACAACGUUUGGAAACGAACGCUAAUACCGCAUAACAAUGAGAAUCGCAUGAUUCUUAUUUAAAAGAAGCAAUUGCUUCACUACUUGAUGAUCCCGCGUUGUAUUAGCUAGUUGGUAGUGUAAAGGACUACCAAGGCGAUGAUACAUAGCCGACCUGAGAGGGUGAUCGGCCACACUGGGACUGAGACACGGCCCAGACUCCUACGGGAGGCAGCAGUAGGGAAUCUUCGGCAAUGGGGGCAACCCUGACCGAGCAACGCCGCGUG
Molecule: ribosomal RNA, 346 nt
Filed under: Lactococcus garvieae
Lineage: Bacteria; Bacillati; Bacillota; Bacilli; Lactobacillales; Streptococcaceae
Description: bacterial SSU rRNA
Rfam family: Bacterial small subunit ribosomal RNA
Source: RNAcentral